This 919-nucleotide small RNA is filed under the name Pan troglodytes (chimpanzee). RNAcentral describes it as "retained intron". The record is from RNAcentral. Lineage: Eukaryota; Metazoa; Chordata; Mammalia; Primates; Hominidae.
UGCACACCCUGCAGGAGCUGGGAGGGAGACAUGGAAGUGCUCAUCAGAGCUCCCCAGGGCCUGCCCCACAGUGAGGCCUCAGCACUGCAGCUUGAUUUUCACCUUUACCAUCUCUUUUAAUCUGUUGAGCUUCUGGAGACAUUUCUCUGCCAAACCAAGACUGGAAACGAUUGAGCUCACCUGUGCACUUUGCAAACUUCGAAGUGCAGCGCACAGGGCAACAGCUGGGCUGCAUUGUAUUCUCAGGCUCCUAUGCCUGGGCCAACUUCACCAUCCUGGCCUUGGGCGUGUGGGCUGUGGCUCAGCGGGACUCCAUCGACGCCAUAAGCAUGUUUCUGGGUGGCUUGCUGGCCACCAUCUUCCUGGACAUCGUGCACAUCAGCAUCUUCUACCCGCGGGUCAGCCUCACGGACACGGGCCGCUUUGGCGUGGGCAUGGCCAUCCUCAGCUUGCUGCUCAAGCCGCUCUCCUGCUGCUUCGUCUACCACAUGUACCGGGAGCGCGGGGGUUUCCUUGGGUCUUCUCAGGACCGUAGUGCCUACCAGACGAUUGACUCAGCAGAGGCGCCCGCAGAUCCCUUUGCAGUCCCAGAGGGCAGGAGUCAAGAUGCCCGAGGGUACUGAAGCCAGCCACGCUGCACCCGGCCCUGCCCCGGGCCUUCCUCGUGCCUGGGAGGUCGUUCUAGGGAUGCUCCUGACCUCCGUCUCUUGGAUCUAAGAUGGAAUGUGUCCCCAGCUCAGGGAUUGCCUGAACCAAGAGGCCAGGAGCCCCCAUGGGCCGCCCAGUACCAUGCACACUCCUGUCCCGAACUCCCUGAGGCCUCCCCUCCCUUCAGGGCACCCACUGGUUCCCAGGCUGGAACCAGGGUCUCUCUUUACCUCCUACCCCAUGGUGGCACCACAGAGGCCCUCAGCCGAGU